Molecule: ribosomal RNA, 497 nt
Filed under: uncultured bacterium
Lineage: Bacteria
Description: partial 16S ribosomal RNA
Rfam family: Bacterial small subunit ribosomal RNA
Source: RNAcentral
GAUGAACGCUGGCGGCGUGCCUAAUACAUGCAAGUCGAGCGAACAGAUAAGGAGCUUGCUCCUUUGACGUUAGCGGCGGACGGGUGAGUAACACGUGGGUAACCUAUCUAUAAGACUGGAAUAACUCCGGGAAACCGGGGCUAAUGCCGGAUAACAUGUUGAACCGCAUGGUUCUACAGUGAAAGGCGGCUUUGCUGUCACUUAUAGAUGGACCCGCGCCGUAUUAGCUAGUUGGUGAGGUAACGGCUCACCAAGGCAACGAUACGUAGCCGACCUGAGAGGGUGAUCGGCCACACUGGAACUGAGACACGGUCCAGACUCCUACGGGAGGCAGCAGUAGGGAAUCUUCCGCAAUGGGCGAAAGCCUGACGGAGCAACGCCGCGUGAGUGAUGAAGGUCUUCGGAUCGUAAAACUCUGUUAUUAGGGAAGAACAAAUGCGUAAGUAACUGUGCGCGUCUUGACGGUACCUAAUCAGAAAGCCACGGAUAACUACGUG